GUUGCUGGUUGUCACUGAUUCUGGCACAUUGUUUGGAGUGUAAUGACACAGGGAUGUUUAACUUCAUCCCUCACCUUAGUGAGGCACUUGUAUCCAUCAAAAAAAGUAUCCUAUCUCCAUGGCAACAUGUCAAUCCUCCUGUGUCACUAAGGCGUUCCCCUUCUUUGUCACCGCAGGGAAGGAAGGUGCUGUUCUGGAGCUGCGUGUGUGCGCUGGGAUGAGUCCACACGUGCACCGACACACACGGAGCAGCCGUUUGAAGGCAAAAAUAUCAGAGAGCUGAACUUCCUCUGGAAGGAGAACAAGCAAGACCGAAACACUUGGGGGCUCCUGCUGCUGUCCUGUGACACAGGGAUUCAGAGGGAUUGCCUCUCCCAGCCUUAAGGGGUGGAGAAUUGCUCACAGAAGUUGCGGACUGCUGUUGGAAUUCAGGCACUUAUGACUGAGCUUUUGUUGGUGCAAGUGUUUAUACACAUGAACUCUUUAGAACUGCAUAUUCUGAACUUCACCCAAGGGGAAAGACGGCAUCAUUAGUCAUCAUUUUACGACAGAGGACACUGUGCAUGAGAACACACUUUUCCAAGAAC
Long non-coding RNA from Prinia subflava (tawny-flanked prinia), 587 nucleotides. RefSeq lists it as uncharacterized. The transcript is spliced from 3 exons. The record is from RefSeq and is a predicted model, not a curated record. NCBI's taxonomy places the organism in Eukaryota, Metazoa, Chordata, Aves, Passeriformes, Cisticolidae.